RNAcentral lists this ribosomal RNA (409 nucleotides) under bacterium. RNAcentral's name for it is "partial 16S ribosomal RNA". It matches the Rfam family "Bacterial small subunit ribosomal RNA", at positions 355 to 776 of the family's 1533-position model. The record is from RNAcentral.
UGGGGAAUAUUGCACAAUGGGCGAAAGCCUGAUGCAGCGACGCCGCGUGAGGGAUGACGGCCUUCGGGUUGUAAACCUCUUUCAGCAGGGACGAAGCGCAAGUGACGGUACCUGCAGAAGAAGCACCGGCUAACUACGUGCCAGCAGCCGCGGUAAUACGUAGGGUGCAAGCGUUGUCCGGAAUUACUGGGCGUAAAGAGUUCGUAGGCGGUUUGUCGCGUCGUUUGUGAAAACCAGCAGCUCAACUGCUGGCUUGCAGGCGAUACGGGCAGACUUGAGUACUGCAGGGGAGACUGGAAUUCCUGGUGUAGCGGUGAAAUGCGCAGAUAUCAGGAUGAACACCGGUGGCGAAGGCGGGUCUCUGGGCAGUAACUGACGCUGAGGAACGAAAGCGUGGGUAGCGAACAGG